RNAcentral lists this small nuclear RNA (107 nucleotides) under Catagonus wagneri (Chacoan peccary). Lineage: Eukaryota; Metazoa; Chordata; Mammalia; Artiodactyla; Tayassuidae. The record is from RNAcentral.
GUGUUUGCUUCGGCAGCACAUAUACCAAAAUUGGAACGAUACAGAGAACACUAACAUAGCCCAUAAGCAAGGAUGACACGCAAAUUCAUGAAGCGUUCCAUGUCAAA